RNAcentral lists this long non-coding RNA (560 nucleotides) under Linum usitatissimum (flax). Its description in RNAcentral is "long non-coding RNA (LUSI_LNC002860)". Lineage: Eukaryota; Viridiplantae; Streptophyta; Magnoliopsida; Malpighiales; Linaceae. The record is from RNAcentral.
ACUUGAAACCUCUUUAGAUUGCUUGGAAGAGAAGAUAGUAGACAGUAUAAGUGAAAUCAAAUUCAUCUGUUGCUAGCCAAGGGUGGUGAAACAUUACAACACCUUUUCAUCAUUAGGAACAUUCUGAGACUGUAAUGCACCAAAUACCAUGGUUAAACAGAUGAACUACUACUGAAAUCUCUGCCACAUAACAAGAAGAGCCUAUGAGUCUUUACUUCCACAUUUGAUUCUUGGUUAAUCCAACAGGUUCCUCGGUUCAAAUUACACGAAAAGCUUCUCCAAUUGCUACCUUAGCCUCUCAAAUCUCUGCCACAUAACAAGAAGAGCCUAUGAGUCUUUACUUCCACAUUUGAUACUUGGUUAAUCCAACAGGUUCCUCGGUUCAAAUUACACGAAAAGCUUCUCCAAUUGCUACCUUAGCCUCUCAAAUCUGAAGCAUGUAGCAACAAUGCUUACUCCGUUACUCGGGAUAGAUACAAACCAUGCUAAAAUACAUGAUGGUGAAUGCCAAAAGAAUAUGUGUGAGGGUGUGUUCAACUGAUUAGAGUUGUGAAUUUGUC